Molecule: ribosomal RNA, 225 nt
Filed under: uncultured bacterium
Lineage: Bacteria
Description: partial 16S ribosomal RNA
Rfam family: Bacterial small subunit ribosomal RNA
Source: RNAcentral
UAACGUGUGGGCAACCUGCCCUGUACUGGGGAAUAAUCAUUGGAAACGAUGACUAAUACCGCAUGUGGUCCUCGGAAGGCAUCUUCUGAGGAAGAAAGGAUUUAUUCGGUACAGGAUGGGCCCGCAUCUGAUUAGCUAGUUGGUGAGAUAACAGCCCACCAAGGCGACGAUCGGUAGCCGGACUGAGAGGUUGAACGGCCACAUUGGGACUGAGACACGGCCCAG